RNAcentral lists this ribosomal RNA (490 nucleotides) under uncultured bacterium. RNAcentral's name for it is "partial 16S ribosomal RNA". It matches the Rfam family "Bacterial small subunit ribosomal RNA", at positions 30 to 507 of the family's 1533-position model. The record is from RNAcentral.
AUUGAACGCUGGCGGCAGGCCUAACACAUGCUAGUCGAACGGUAACAGGAAGCAGCUUGCUGCUUUGCUGACGAGUGGCGGACGGGUGAGUAAUGUCUGGGAAACUGCCUGAUGGAGGGGGAUAACUACUGGAAACGGUAGCUAAUACCGCAUAACGUCGCAAGACCAAAGAGGGGGACCUUCGGGCCUCUUGCCCUCGGAUGUGCCCAGAUGGGAUUAGCUAGUAGGUGGGGUAACGGCUCACCUAGGCGACGAUCCCUAGCUGGUCUGAGAGGAUGACCAGCCACACUGGAACUGAGACACGGUCCAGACUCCUACGGGAGGCAGCAGUGGGGAAUAUUGCACAAUGGGCGCAAGCCUGAUGCAGCCAUGCCGCGUGUAUGAAGAAGGCCUUCGGGUUGUAAAGUACUUUCAGCGGGGAGGAAGGGAGUAAAGUUAAUACCUUUGCUCAUUGACGUUACCCGCAGAAGAAGCACCGGCUAACUCCGUG